UGGGUGUGAGACUGUCGAUAGGCUGG
This 26-nucleotide non-coding RNA is filed under the name Rattus norvegicus (Norway rat). The record is from RNAcentral. Lineage: Eukaryota; Metazoa; Chordata; Mammalia; Rodentia; Muridae.